UACAGAGGUCUCAAGCGUUGUCCGGAAUCAUUGGGCGUAAAGCGCGCGUAGGCGGUCAGGUAAGUCCGGUGUGAAAGUCAAAGGCUCAACCUUUGAAUGCCGCUGGAAACUGCCUGACUUGAGUCCGGUAGGGGCGAGUGGAAUUCCUGGUGUAGCGGUGAAAUGCGCAGAUAUCAGGAGGAACACCAAUGGCGAAGGCAGCUCGCUGGGACGGAACUGACGCUAAGGCGCGAAAGCGUGGGGAGCGAACAGG
Molecule: ribosomal RNA, 253 nt
Filed under: uncultured bacterium
Lineage: Bacteria
Description: partial 16S ribosomal RNA
Rfam family: Bacterial small subunit ribosomal RNA
Source: RNAcentral